This 323-nucleotide unclassified non-coding RNA is filed under the name Hevea brasiliensis (rubber tree). The record is from RNAcentral. Lineage: Eukaryota; Viridiplantae; Streptophyta; Magnoliopsida; Malpighiales; Euphorbiaceae.
GUCACCAUAAACUUCAUCCCCUUACUUUAGUCCCUUCAUUUGACUACCAACUUUUAUUACCACACCAGCAACAUCAUAUCCUGGAAUAGUCUAUGGGGAAAAAUUUUAAAUCCUUUUAGCCACUUCACUAGAAAUCCAUCUCAAUUAAAAAUUGGAAAACCAAAAGAUUGUAGUCCAAUAAAAAAAAUUCAUUACCACCCACUUAUCUGCUAAGAAACCAGAGGGAAACAAAAAAAAAGUUUAGUCAUAGUUUCUUAGAACAAAACAGAUACAAGAAAAAUAAAGAAAAGAAAGUGAUGUACAGGAAGAGGAGAAUCAGUGGC